This 2542-nucleotide long non-coding RNA is filed under the name Schizosaccharomyces pombe (fission yeast). RNAcentral's name for it is "non-coding RNA, possible alternative UTR". Lineage: Eukaryota; Fungi; Ascomycota; Schizosaccharomycetes; Schizosaccharomycetales; Schizosaccharomycetaceae. The record is from RNAcentral.
AUUUAGUACAACUCAAAGUAGGCAUUGCCUCCGGUGACAGAGACUGUACAACCACUGCUGUCAGCGGUGGAACCAUGGAAUGAUCCGUCUUCAUAGUAGCAAUCACCACUAAGGGACCCACCAUCAGAUUUAAUACGGAUAUUGUAAUCAAGUUUAGCAGAUGAUAAAGGAUUGAAAGACAUAGAAAGCCAAGUCUUGCCGUCAGUGUAACCAGACCCGAAGUUCAUAGGAGCCCAAUUGCCAUAAUCAUCGCCCUCAUUACCCCAAACACAGACAUCUUCUGCACUUCUGCCAGAUUUAUUAACAUAGUAUUGAGCGGAUGUCUUCUUUCCUCCCCAAUUAUAGUAUGAAUCUUCAUCAACAUCAGAAAGAGGUUGUUUUGAACCACCAUCAAUAUUGGUAGGGAUAUUCAUGUUCUCAGUUCCGGGGUAAUCGGUACGGCAAAUUGCGACAUUGGAACUCAAUGUAUUUUUAACAUAGGCAGUACCCUUUCCAUCUUCACAAAGAUUAGAAUUAUCCUUCUGGGUGAGAUAUAAUUUACCGUUCUUGCAAUACAAACCACCAACGGAAACGCCAUUGUCAGGCUGCUCAGACGGCCAUUGGGUCUUAGACAUUCCGGGCUUGCAUGCAUAGGAACAGUAUGUGUUAUCUUGGCAUGUAGAAGCUGUUCCGUAUUUACCAUCAUUCUUCUGAACACCAGACCAUCCUCCAAAACCUAAGUAAUCAAGGCGGACAACGCCAUUUUGAUCAUCAGGAAAAGAGGAGCAGUCGUAUACGCCGUCAGGAAAACCACCGUCUCUUUUUGAAAAAGCGGUAGUGUUUGUGACAUUGACACCAACAGUUAUAUUGCUAGCAUUCAAACCGGCAUGAUGGUGAUGGUGAUAGGGAGCAUUACCAAGAGGCAUAGCUGAAACCAAAGGAAUGGCGGAAACCGCAAAACAAAGAAAGUUGUUAAAGAGCAUUUUUAGAUUUAAAAGAUUUGACAGGAAUCUAACGAUUGACUUUAUAAACGAUAGGAUAUGCUAGUAACUUGAUACUAGAAAAUAAAAGAAAGAUGGUAAAGAAUAUAAUGGUCUUUACCUUUUGCGGUUCUGAUUGUUUAAUUUCAGCUCACGGCUUUUCCCUAAAAAUCAGCUCAGCUUUAUAUACAUUUCUUUUUUCAAGCACUUCACCAUCUUUUGAUUAAGAGCCGUGGCGUUUUGCCACUAAUUAACCAUGAAAGCCUGUAAGUUUUCAACGUUGAUUUUUUCAGAAAAUUUCUAACCAUAAACCCGAAAUAAUUAGCGCCAAAACAGUCAACUAUUGCGCUCCAAUCAUUGCUUGCCUUGCUAUCGGCUUUGUAUUCAUUGGCUGAUAACUUAAUUAAAAAUGAACUUAAAAGUCAGUUGAUAAAUUCAACCAAUUAAAUGCGUGAAUUUGAUCUACCCCAGGAAAAUUUAUACUGUCCCGGGGUCGCGGGGCGUUCAAUCAUUCAUUUCAAAGCAAAUUAUUAUUAUUUCCAAGCCAAGUAAUUUAAUUUUUGUUUAUCGCUUUAGCUUUCUUAUCAUAAGGAAGUUCUUGGUCCCCUGGGCCUUUUGCAAUUGAAUUGCGCGGUGUACGUAAGCCUAAUGACAUCCCUGUAUACCUAACUUACAAAUACGUUGGCUCGACUCAACGUUAUAUUGAUUUUCUCCUAAUACUAUUAAAUAUAUUUAAUAAUCUCUUGGGAAAGUAAUCUGGUACAUACAAAUCAUCCUAGAUAUAAGAGGCUCGGUGCAUUUCGGCAAAUGAUGUUCUGCAGCUCAUUAAAUAUGAUAUAAUAUUAAUUAAUUAAUAUCGUGUUUACACUCGGUUUAUCGGUUUGCUAUGCUAAGAACUUUUACGGAUAACAAUUUAAUUAUUUAUCUUGGUAGCGUAUUUGACGCUUCUUUGGAUACUGAGAUUAAGUCAAAUUUUGAAUGGAGAGAAGUCGAAUAAUAGCCCAAUGCCUGCCGAAAUUACCCGAUGCAUGUCAUUGACGAGACAAAAAAUUUCUUUCAACGGCCUAAGAAAAUGAUGUACUAGAAACGCCAUCUUAGUCUGACAUUUUACAUUUUACGCUCAUGCUCAAAUUUUAUUAAUAAAUUAUUAUAUGUGUCCGUGUCAUUUAGAAUAUGACAGGGGAGGGUAAUCUCUUUCCCAACUUUAUUGGCGUGUAAUGAAAUUCGCGAGCUACUAUUGUGUCUGCAUUCUUUAGCUGCAAAAACGCAACGGAAAAGACAAUUUUAUAAUAUGAAUACUUCACGUGUUCAUUGUUUUUGUCUUUAGAGAAUUUAUUUGAAAAUGCUGAGGAGGUUAAUAUCUGGUAUACAAUUAAAACACUAUCGCAAAUAAUGUAAAAAAAAAUAAUAUUGAGGAGCCAUAACUAAGUCAUAUAACUUUUCUUAUUGAACUAUUGUUAUGUCGCGAUUUAGUCGUAUUUACCAUAAACUAUAAAAACUUUUCUUAAUCAACAGUAAAAUUGUUACUUAUUCUGGUGUUACUUACACCUCCGCUUGCGUAGAGUGAAUUUAAAAUUCAUUGC